Molecule: ribosomal RNA, 329 nt
Filed under: uncultured eukaryote
Lineage: Eukaryota
Description: partial 18S ribosomal RNA
Rfam family: Eukaryotic small subunit ribosomal RNA
Source: RNAcentral
CCCUUAGAUGUCCUGGGCCGCACGCGCGCUACACUGAGUGACUGAGAUACGAGUCUGCCUGGUCCGGCAAGGUCUAGGUAAUCGCUAAAAGACACAUCAUGCUUGGGAUAGAUUAUUGCAAAUAUUAAUCUUGAACGAGGAAUUCCUAGUAAGCGCAAGUCAACAGCUUGCGUUGAUUACGUCCCUGCCCUUUGUACACACCGCCCGUCGCUACUACUGAUUGGAUGUUUAAGCGAGGUUCUCGAACUGCUAGCGACUUAGCUUCGGUGAGGUCGCAGUGUGGGAAGUGAACCUAGCUUUGGUGUCUAGAGGAAGUAAAAGUCGUAACA